CUGAGACUACAACACUGGCAUUUUAAAAGUGGGGCUAAAGCUGCGCUGGUAUUUGUACACGAGUUAACAUACUAAGUAGGCACUACGGUAGCUGAGCUGUAAAUAUUCAUGGUUGGCUCUUUGCCAUUACGUUGGCUCUAAAAUCGCAUUUUCUGAAGCGUCAUUUCAUAAAGAGAGCAAAAAGCUGCUCUAAAAAUCUUAAAUUAUUUGUAAUUUUGUCUCUCGUUUUAAACUAAUUGUCACUGUGAGUGAAGUGGCAGGCUGGUGCAUCUGCCAUGUCCAAUCACAGACAGAGUAGUGUACAAUGGGAAACUUGAACAGUCUGUCUAAGUGUGUGUAUACAUGUGUUUUUGAGCCAAUCUCAUCAUCAGAGCACAGUCUCGCUUGAUUGGGCAAGGUGAUGCUGACUUGAAUAGCAAAUCAGCUAGGACUAAAGGCUGAACAAUAGUACAUCUAAUUAAUGUUCAUGACCCAGGCUGAUAAAGGAGAUCUGGGUUUCUCUCUGCAUUUCCAUUCAUCACUAUAAAUCUGCAUGUACCCAUACUAAAGACAUGCUGGUAGCAUCAGCCGUGGAGUGAGAAUUAAUCCUACUAAUGGUGAGUGCCUUGCCUUUCAGCAAACCAGCUAAGACUAAUGGCUGAACAAUACCACAUCUAAUUAAUAUUCAAGAGCCAGGCUGAUAAGGUUAAUAAAGGAGGUCCAUGUAACCUGGAGAAAGUCAUCUGUUCACAUUCCCAUUCAUCUCUAUAAACCUGCAUGUUUCCAUCCACAAGAGGAACAGGAGCCAAAGCUCAGCACGGUGUGAGAAGGUUGCCCUCAGGCAAGCAUGAGACUGGCCUUGGUAAUUGGCACCAGUGAACGAGAGGGUCCUGGCACGACUCCGAAAACCAGAGCUGUUUGGAAUUUCAUUCUGACGGUACCCAUUCACUGCAGAGGAUUCAUUGGUGAGCAAGUGAUGUAAUUUUAAAUUUCUCCAAAUAUUUUCCGGUGAAGAAAGAAACACAACUACAUCUUGGAUGGCCUGAGGUGAAUGUCAGAAAAAAUAGUUCCAGAAGCCAAGGCUACUGCAAAAAGAUGUUUGUCCACUUUAAAAUUGCAGUUUGACCUGUGAACAGUGAAACAGCAUAUUCCCCAUGUGUAUAUCUAAACUUCCAAGGUACAUGAUCUAUUUAUUGCUUUAAAUUGAACAUAAGAAGGAGUUUUAUUUAAACAAAUCUUCAAGUUGCACACCAAUAAAUUCUUGAAUUAAACAUUAUAUGAAUUAUAUGAACAGUGUUAAUGUAGCACCUGCUGAAUCAAAUGUUGGAGCUUGCUAAUCUUCCUCUAACAAGUAACACCUUACUCUUCUGUUUAGUCUUUGUCAAUCCAUUAGCUAGGGACACAUUAGGAACAACAGACUGUGCAUUGAUUAAAAAGGGCCCUUUAUUUAAUUACACCUGCACAGUUGCCAGUUCGUCUGCUUAACAGAUAGUUCUGCAUAUUCCCUAUCAGGUGGCCAUUUAUUUAGGUGUCGACGAAUUAGAUUACGGCCAACCGGACUGAUUUCAUAGUCACGUCCAGGCUAUAGAAGAAAAAAAAGUUAAGAUGCAAGCAUGAGAGCAC
Long non-coding RNA from Cyprinus carpio carpio, 1602 nucleotides. The record is from Ensembl. NCBI's taxonomy places the organism in Eukaryota, Metazoa, Chordata, Actinopteri, Cypriniformes, Cyprinidae.